CCAUUCUUAUCAUGGUAUCAGAGCCUGGCCCAUCCCAAUUAUUGUUACUGAUGUUGGGCCCCCAUUUAUGUUGUCCACGCUCCAGCGAUCUGGGCGUGAGAGGGGGUGUUGAGUUGUCCCACAUCGGAGGGAUUUGAGGUCCUUGGUCUCCUUAUAUGGCUUGGGCAAUCCUCACCUCAUAAGCUAGAUUUUGGGGUUGAGUUAGGCCCAAGAUCCAUUCUUAU
RNAcentral lists this long non-coding RNA (224 nucleotides) under Nicotiana benthamiana. RNAcentral describes it as "long non-coding RNA (NBEN_LNC005254)". The record is from RNAcentral. Lineage: Eukaryota; Viridiplantae; Streptophyta; Magnoliopsida; Solanales; Solanaceae.